CCAAUAGCGUAUAUUAAAGUUGUUGCAGUUAAAAAGCUCGUAGUUGAAUUUCGGGAUUGACACAUCGGUCGUGCCUUAAGGGGUAUGAACUGGUGUAGUCAAUUUCUCACCUUCUGGAGAACCGCGAUGCCCUUAAUUGGGUGUCGCGGGGAACCAGGACCUUUACUUUGAAAAAAUUAGAGUGUUUAAAGCAGGCAUUUUGCUUGAAUACAUUAGCAUGGAAUAAUAAAAUAGGACGGCAUGAUUCUAUUUUGUUGGUUUCUAGGAUCACCGUAAUGAUUAAUAGGGAUAGUUGGGGGCAUUAGUAUUCCAUUGUCAGAGGUGAAAUUCUUGGAUUUAUUGAAGACUAACUACUGCGAAAGCAUUUGCCAAGGAUGUUUUCAUUAAUCAAGAACGAAAGUUAGGGGAUCGAAGACGAUCAGAUACCGUCGUAGUCUUAACCAUAAACUAUGCCGACUAGGAAUCAGACGAUGUUAAUUUUUUAAUGACUCGUUUGGCACCUUACG
RNAcentral lists this ribosomal RNA (506 nucleotides) under uncultured Glomeromycotina. RNAcentral describes it as "partial small subunit ribosomal RNA". It matches the Rfam family "Eukaryotic small subunit ribosomal RNA", at positions 591 to 1092 of the family's 1831-position model. The record is from RNAcentral. Lineage: Eukaryota; Fungi; Glomeromycota.